Molecule: ribosomal RNA, 634 nt
Filed under: Klebsiella pneumoniae
Lineage: Bacteria; Pseudomonadati; Pseudomonadota; Gammaproteobacteria; Enterobacterales; Enterobacteriaceae
Description: partial 23S ribosomal RNA
Rfam family: Bacterial large subunit ribosomal RNA
Source: RNAcentral
GUAACGGAGGAGCACGAAGGUUAGCUAAUCCUGGUCGGACAUCAGGAGGUUAGUGCAAUGGCAUAAGCUAGCUUGACUGCGAGCGUGACGGCGCGAGCAGGUGCGAAAGCAGGUCAUAGUGAUCCGGUGGUUCUGAAUGGAAGGGCCAUCGCUCAACGGAUAAAAGGUACUCCGGGGAUAACAGGCUGAUACCGUCCAAGAGUUCAUAUCGACGGCGGUGUUUGGCACCUCGAUGUCGGCUCAUCACAUCCUGGGGCUGAAGUAGGUCCCAAGGGUAUGGCUGUUCGCCAUUUAAAGUGGUACGCGAGCUGGGUUUAGAACGUCGUGAGACAGUUCGGUCCCUAUCUGCCGUGGGCGCUGGAGAAUUGAGGGGGGCUGCUCCUAGUACGAGAGGACCGGAGUGGACGCAUCACUGGUGUUCGGGUUGUCAUGCCAAUGGCAUUGCCCGGUAGCUAAAUGCGGAAGAGAUAAGUGCUGAAAGCAUCUAAGCACGAAACUUGCCCCGAGAUGAGUUCUCCCUGAGACUUUAAGUCUCCUGAAGGAACGUUGAAGACGACGACGUUGAUAGGCCGGGUGUGUAAGCGCAGCGAUGCGUUGAGCUAACCGGUACUAAUGAACCGUGAGGCUUAACCUU